RNAcentral lists this ribosomal RNA (679 nucleotides) under uncultured archaeon. RNAcentral describes it as "bacterial SSU rRNA". It matches the Rfam family "Archaeal small subunit ribosomal RNA", at positions 321 to 999 of the family's 1478-position model. The record is from RNAcentral.
CCCUAUGGGGUGCAGCAGGCGCGAAACCUCCGCAAUGCACGCAAGUGUGACGGGGGGACUCCAAGUGGUACGGAUUUUUUUCGUAUCUUUUAUUAAGUGUAAAUAGCUUGAGGAAUAAGAGCUGGGUAAGACAGGUGCCAGCCGCCGCGGUAAUACCUGCAGCUCGAGUUGUCUGGAGUUUUACUGGGUCUAAAACGUUCGUAGCCGGUUUUCUAAGUCCUUUGUGAAAUCUGGCAGCCUAACUGUCAGGCGUGCAGAGGAAACUAGGAGACUUGGGAACGGGAUGGGUUAUGGGAACUCUAAGGGUAAGGGUGAAAUCUAAUAAUCCUUAGGGGACCACCUGUGGCGAAGGCGCAUAACUAAAACGUUUCCGACGGUGAGGAACGAAAGCCAGGGGAGCAAACGGGAUUAGAUACCCCGGUAGUCCUGGCCGUAAAUGAUGUGAACUAGGUGUUGCAUGUCCUUUUUGGGCGUGCAGUGCCGAAGGGAAGCCGUUAAGUUCACUACCUGGGAAGUACGAUCGCAAGGUUGAAACUUAAAGGAAUUGACGGGGGAGCACAACAAGGGGUGGAGCUUGCGGUUUAAUUGGAUUAUACUCCGGAAAUCUCACCAGGGAAGACAACAGCAUGAAGGCCAGUCUGAAGGGCUUGCCAGACUCGUUGAGAGGUGGUGCAUGGCC